RNAcentral lists this non-coding RNA (31 nucleotides) under Homo sapiens (human). Lineage: Eukaryota; Metazoa; Chordata; Mammalia; Primates; Hominidae. The record is from RNAcentral.
UAUGUGCACUUACCACAGAUGUGUCGGGACU